UAAAAUAACAGGCUUGGUUUAAUAGGAGGAGAGAUAUGUGGACGGGGAAUGUAUUAAAGCUGUGAAAGCAUUCACACCAGUGUCACGGACAGACGUCACUUCAGUCUGACUCAAACUGGCUUCUUUCUUUUUUAUACAUGAAAAUGAUUCACUCGGCCGGAUCUCUGCCCUGCUUGCUUAUUACAGUUAAUUUCACUCACCUGGUGAGCGACUGUCACUGAUUAGAUGGUGAGACGAGGCCCAGCAGGACUCGCCGACACCGCUGCAUCUCUGAAAUAAUCUGCAGCCAUUAUUUUCAAGGACAAGCUGUUCAUAUUUUACAUACUUGUGCUGUUCGGUGAAGAUUAGUUUUUCGGUGCGGCUAAAUCACAGGUAUGAGCCACGAGGGUAGGACGCCUGACGAAUCUUCUUCUGUUGGACUUCUGGCAGGUCGCAAAUCGAGGAGUUAAUUUCAGUCACCCUGUCAGUAAUGAUGCGUCAGCAGAGAGUCGCGCAGCCUGAGGCGAGUUUCCUGGAGUCAGAGCGCCCUCUGCUGUUUAACAGCAAACACUGAAACUGCAAAAACAGUCGUUGGUAAAUGGAUUGCAGAGAACCGCACACUGUUGUAAUAAACACCAGCACCACUGAUCUGGACCCUCCUGGGAUCAACACUCUCAUCUCAUCACGCCUUUUGGGCAUUUUGGUCAUCCAAGCAGGGCUCUCAGAGACGAGACGGGAAGCGGUUGUGGGGUAAAAGGGAGCAUAAUUGCUUCGAAUGCGAGUUGAAAACUGCAAAGCCAUCAGACUGGAGUCAGCUGAGCGGAGCAGACUGUGUCUUCAUUAACCUCCUCUACCUCAGCAGAUAGGACUGCAAGUAUUACCUGAUGCACUGUUUAACAAAUAAUUUCUACUGUUAAUAACACCAAAUUGGCAAAACUUAAAGAAAUGCAGGCUUAAAAGGUGUAUCUGACAUUACCUCACACUGAUGAGCCUCAGCAGUUACAACCUUCUGAAAGCUUUCAUUUGUUUUUACUACUUUCCCAUAUUAGCAGGUGAAAUUUCACUUAUCCUUGCCCUCACCUAAGCCUCAGAGAGGAUUAAAAGCCAUGGACCAGGACAGUUAAUAUUAAAAUAAUCCCACACUUCCUGUCUGAAUGGGGCUUUGUUUGUUUUUGUUCUGAGUGUGAUACUGUCUGACAGGUCAAAGAGCUCUUAAUGCUUCAAACCCUCAUUUGUUAUGAUUUGCACAGAGAUUCAUGGUCUCUACAGAGUGAACCCUAAAAACACUGAUUAUCCUCUGACUUUACCAUAUCACCAGCAGGUGGUUUCAGGUCAGAUUUUAAGAUUUUGGAUUGGUUCAAACUGUCGACAGAUAUUGCACUGACUGGUGUUUAACUACUGAAAAGAUUUCCCCAGAAGAUAAACCCAAAUUACAGUGGAAAUCAUCAAAUAUUACACAACAAGCUGGUGAAAGUUUUCAGUGAAAUGGAUUGUCAUAAAAUUCAGCUGCAGACAUUCGUAGUCCUCAGGGGAUGAACCCUCAACACAAAACCACAUGCAUCGGUUUUGGACUCUAUAAAACUGAAAUAUCUUGAGUAUAAUCACAUGGACUGGACUUUUGUAAACAUAUCCCGAGAGGAUAAUCACAGAUGACAGUGAUGAAUUACUGAUAUUUAACACACAGGGACAUCUAGAAAUCUGUGGUCUCCAGAGGAUGAUCCCUCAAUUCUUUAAACUUCAAAACAACUUCCUGAUGCUGUUUUGUACUCCUUUUCAUCUUCUGAGUGGUUCAAACUGAAAUAUCUCCAGUACAAUUUGGUAGAUUAAUAUUCAAUUUGUAUGCAUAUCCCCAGAGGAUAAACAUAGAUGACAGUGAUGAAGUAAUACACAGAGACACCAAGAAAUUCAUGGUUCCCAGAAAGUCCUCGUUCAAAAAAAAAUGGCAAUCAUCAACAAAUUCAUGACUAAAAUACCUGAACAUCAGGAUUCCCAGCUAAACCCUUGAUUCAGACCUUCCCCCGGACAGCCUGAACCUGGUUCUUUAAACUGAGUCUGGUCCCUGAAGUUGUGAGGACUACUCUGAAUGUGCUCACAAAGCAGAAAUGUCCUCACUGUAAUGGUUUUAGAUACAGAAACAC
Molecule: long non-coding RNA, 2117 nt
Organism: Oreochromis niloticus (Nile tilapia)
Lineage: Eukaryota; Metazoa; Chordata; Actinopteri; Cichliformes; Cichlidae
Exons: 4
Source: RefSeq, a predicted model, not a curated record